This 262-nucleotide long non-coding RNA is filed under the name Phasianus colchicus (ring-necked pheasant). Its description in RNAcentral is "lncRNA (ENSPCLG00000002556.1)". The record is from RNAcentral. Lineage: Eukaryota; Metazoa; Chordata; Aves; Galliformes; Phasianidae.
GGGGAUCUCUGCAGAAUCCGACUGCAUGAUGACAAACAGUAAAACAGAAUUAUUGCUCGACUGGAGCAGAUUUUUUUUUAUCUUCAGUUUGAGGAAAGGUGAGGUGAAGUGCAGCAGAAUCUGUGAAUCCCACAGGAAUGUUCUGAUCAGCUAUCAAGAUAAUACACAUCACAUCAGACACACAAGGAGGAGGAUGCAAUUAAAAGCGUGGGGCUGGGAUAUCAUAUGGCUUCCUGCCCACAUCCUUGGAAGUUGCCCAUGA